Molecule: ribosomal RNA, 792 nt
Filed under: uncultured bacterium
Lineage: Bacteria
Description: bacterial SSU rRNA
Rfam family: Bacterial small subunit ribosomal RNA
Source: RNAcentral
AGAGUUUGAUCCUGGCUCAGGAUGAACGCUAGCGGCAGGCCUAAUACAUGCAAGCCGAACGGCAAGUCUGAUAGCAAUAUUAGACCUAGAGUGGCGUAAGGGUGCGUAACACGUAUGCAAUCUGCCCGCAACAGGAGGAUAGCUCCCCGAAAGGGGAAUUAACCCUCCAUAGGAUCACACGAAGGCAUCUGAGAGUGAUUAAACCAAAAGGGGUUGCGGAUGAGCAUGCGGUUGAUUAGCUAGUUGGCGGGGUAACGGCCCACCAAGGCGAUGAUCAAUAGGGGAACUGAGAGGUUUAUCCCCCACACUGGCACUGAGAUACGGGCCAGACUCCUACGGGAGGCAGCAGUAGGGAAUAUUGGACAAUGGGCGAGAGCCUGAUCCAGCCAUGCCGCGUGCAGGAAGAAGGCCUUCUGGGUUGUAAACUGCUUUUGCCAGGGGAUAAAAGACCCGUGCGCGGGGAAUUGAAGGUACCUGGUGAAUAAGCCACGGCUAACUACGUGCCAGCAGCCGCGGUAAUACGUAGGUGGCAAGCGUUGUCCGGAUUUAUUGGGUUUAAAGGGUGCGUAGGCGGUUCUAUAAGUCAGUGGUGAAAUACGGCAGCUCAACUGUCGAGGUGCCAUUGAUACUGCAGAACUUGAGUACAGACGAGGUAGGCGGAAUUGACGGUGUAGCGGUGAAAUGCUUAGAUAUCGUCAAGAACACCGAUAGCGAAGGCAGCUUACUAGACUGUAACUGACGCUGAGGCACGAAAGUGUGGGGAUCAAACAGGAUUAGAUACCCUAGUAGUCC